This 442-nucleotide long non-coding RNA is filed under the name Gossypium raimondii (Peruvian cotton). RNAcentral's name for it is "long non-coding RNA (GRAI_LNC010049)". The record is from RNAcentral. Lineage: Eukaryota; Viridiplantae; Streptophyta; Magnoliopsida; Malvales; Malvaceae.
CUUCAGUAAACCGUCCCUGUUUUACCCUCCCAUCAGCUUCCCCUUUGUUUCUCUUCUGUUCCUUCUAGCCUCUGCCGAUUUGCUCCCUCCAUUUCUUUUCUUUUCUUCCCUCUGUUUAUUUUCUUUUCUUUUUCUGUCGAUUUGCUCCCUCCGUUUCUUUUCUUUUCUUUUCUGCCGAUUUGCUCCCUUUGUUUCUUUUCUUUUCUUUUCUGCUGAUUUGCCAGUUUCUGCUGAUUUUUGAGUUACUGCAACUGAAAGGUAGGUUUCUAACUCUCUGUCAACCUUGUUACUAUCUUUUGUUUUUUUCUGCAUGUAAGCAGAUUCGAAUCACUGCCUUGUUAGUGCCAUUUUCUCAUUAAUCGGUAACUGCAUGUAAUCGGUUUCCCCUUUUCUCAUUACAGGUUCUUCUUCAUCUCACUGUGCCCCGAUUUGCUCAUUUACA